RNAcentral lists this unclassified non-coding RNA (363 nucleotides) under uncultured bacterium. RNAcentral's name for it is "contains 16S-23S intergenic spacer region". The record is from RNAcentral.
UCCCCGUUGCCGGGGCAGUCUAGCUAGAAAAAUUCAACUAACUAUAAGGGUUGCGCUCGUUACUGGACUUAACCAUACAUCUCACGACACGAGCUGACGACGGCCAUGCAACACCUGUCACUGGAUUCCCGAAGGCACAGUCUCCUUUCAGAGACCUUCCCAGGAUGUCAAACCUUGGUAAGGUUCUUCGCUUAUCGUCGAAUUAAACAACACGCUCCACCGCUUGUGCGGGUCCCCGUCAAUUCCUUUAUGUUUUAAGCUUGCGCUCGUACUCCACAGGCGGGAUGCUUAACGCGUUAGCUUCGCUACUAGAAGGGUCGAUACUCCUAACAGCUAGCAUCCAUAGUUUACGGCGUGGACUAC